AGUGAACGCUGGCGGUAGGCCUAACACAUGCAAGUCGAACGGCAGCACAGUAAGAGCUUGCUCUUACGGGUGGCGAGUGGCGGACGGGUGAGGAAUACAUCGGAAUCUACUUUUUCGUGGGGGAUAACGUAGGGAAACUUACGCUAAUACCGCAUACGACCUACGGGUGAAAGCAGGGGAUCUUCGGACCUUGCGCGAUUGAAUGAGCCGAUGUCGGAUUAGCUAGUUGGCGGGGUAAAGGCCCACCAAGGCGACGAUCCGUAGCUGGUCUGAGAGGAUGAUCAGCCGCACUGGAACUGAGACACGGUCCAGACUCCUACGGGAGGCAGCAGUGGGGAAUAUUGGACAAUGGGCGCAAGCCUGAUCCAGCCAUACCGCGUGGGUGAAGAAGGCCUUCGGGUUGUAAAGCCCUUUUGUUGGGAAAGAAAAGCAGCAGGUUAAUACCCCGCUGUUCUGACGGUACCCAAAGAAUAAGCACCGGCUAACCUCGUG
RNAcentral lists this ribosomal RNA (492 nucleotides) under uncultured bacterium. Its description in RNAcentral is "partial 16S ribosomal RNA". It matches the Rfam family "Bacterial small subunit ribosomal RNA", at positions 29 to 507 of the family's 1533-position model. The record is from RNAcentral.